Molecule: long non-coding RNA, 1212 nt
Organism: Gallus gallus (chicken)
Lineage: Eukaryota; Metazoa; Chordata; Aves; Galliformes; Phasianidae
Exons: 3
Source: RefSeq, a predicted model, not a curated record
UACUACUAUACUAGCAGAGUUAAACUGAAAGUACAUUGUUCCAUAGUGUCUAAUCUCAUAAAUCUUUUGUCUUUUCCAGGCAGCCUGGUUAAAACUUAAUCCAUUGGAAAGCAGUUCAGAAACUUACAAUUAAUGACUGCAAUAUUGUAAGAGAUAAAAGCUGGAGUAAAGAAGGAGGAGGGGGGGACACAUUUAACAAGUAACCAUUAUACACGGUGAAGCCUGCUUUCCUGAAGUGGCUGAACUUCUGCUUGCCAAUGGGAAAUGGUUCCAGUCAUCUAUCAGACCCCAGGGUGCUCAGUACUGCCAGUUCUCCUACUGAAUAUUCUUUCUACCUAGCAUGCUGUUGCACUGUUUGUGAGACUGUUCACCGAGCUGAUGUUUCCUUUGCCUCUCUCUUGUGGAUGGCACUCAUCAUCAUAUCCCAGAGCAGCUUGCAAAGUAUAGUGUCUUUUCUAUGCUGUUUAAGGGGAGGCAGAGAGUAAUCCCAUUUUCUGUUUGAGGUUCUCCUGAGACAAUGAGAAAUGGUGUUGAAGAGUCAGACUCUAAAAGUACUCACUGGUAGGGAAGUAGUACUGGCUAGUCAUCACUUCCACUUUGCAGGGGAAAAAAAUAAGAAGAGAAAACCUUUUACUGCCUCUCUGAUUGCUGAGUGAUUUUGAAACCUUACAAAUAUUUUUAUUUUAACUUCUAGUAGGAGAGUUGGAUUUAUGUUAGACCCAGAAGUGCUCUGAUGAUAGUUUUAUGGAAUGACAUAGAUCAUUUACUUUUAUAAGCAACAAGCUGAGCUUCUUCACUCUCUGCACUUCUAGAGAUGUGUUAAUAUGAUAGUUUAUUGGAUAGCUAAAAUAUAUCACAGGUCUUGCAAAUUUAGAACUGUCUGUAAGUGAACUAAAAGCUGCACUGCUAAAUAAUCCCAUAUGUAAUGUUCUGAUAAUUAAACCCCUCUGGCAAUUACAUCAUGCAUUAUCAAGUUUAGCCAGAUCCGUUACUCAUCACUGGUGCCGUGGACAAAACAAAGCUGGUACGCUAGGGACUGUCAGCUCAGCAGAUGCUCCUAUGGAAGAAAGAAGCCAAAUGCUGUUUAUGUAAUGCAAGCACCAGUGUGCUGGAGAAAGAUAUUUCUUCAGCUUGCAAAAUGUUUCUGGAGUUCAGAAACUAGGAAAGGGGGAGAUACGAAGGUACCAUAUUGAUUGUACUGUAUUUGAAUGC